CGCAACACGAUCCCGUUGUUGUGGGAGGGCAAUAACCUUAUUCAAAGGCAUGCCGACAUCCGGUCUCAUGUGGACGGCUUUUACGAAGCCCUCUUUGUGGCCUCCCCUAGGGGAGGCCUAGCCCUAGCUUCUAACUUCUGGUCGGCCAAUCAAUGCGUCACGACGGAGGAGAAUGCUGGCCUCACAACCCCAUUCUCUGAACAGGAGGUCUGGUUGGCCAUUAAGGGUAUGAACCCAAACUCCGUGCCGGGGCUAGAUGGCCUCCCGGCGAAGUUCUACCAAACUUUUUGGGGUGUGAUCAAAACCGAGGUGAUGGCCCUCUUUGAGGAAUUUUAUCGAGGCACGUGCGAUCUUCGCCGCCUCAACUAUGGGGUCAUCACUCUCAUCCCCAAGGUUCCUGGCGCGACGGAUAUUCGUCAAUUCCGGCCGAUCACGGUGAUUAAUGUGAUUUUCCGCAUCUUGGCAAAGGGGUACGCCAAUAGGGUGACUGAGGGAGUCCUAGACUAA
RNAcentral lists this ribosomal RNA (507 nucleotides) under Triticum aestivum (bread wheat). Its description in RNAcentral is "partial small subunit ribosomal RNA". The record is from RNAcentral. Lineage: Eukaryota; Viridiplantae; Streptophyta; Magnoliopsida; Poales; Poaceae.